GGACGACAUGUUCAUCAAGCGUGUUUGAAUAGAUUAUGAUAUUGUCAAGAUAAGCCACACAAUAUACAUCUAAAAGGUCGCUGAGGGCUUUGUUGAUAUAAGAUUGAAAGAUCACAGAGGCAUUGAUUAGCCCAAAAGGGCAGUGGAUAUCGAUUCUUGACUGUUAUUUCAUUCAAUCCUUGAUAAUUCACACAAAGACGCAGGGUUCCAUCUUUCUUGAGUGCAAAUAAUACUGGCAUGUCUGCUGGGCUCUUGAACAGACAUAUCCAAUUCUUCUCUAACACUUUUUUGAUAUAUUCUCGGAGGACAGAGAGUUCUUGAGGUGAUAGAUUAUAUAUCAGUCAGUAUGGGGGUUUCUUGCCAGAUUUGAGCUCUAUGACAUGAUCAUGAGGUGCAUGUUCUGCAUCAGGUAUGUCUUCUUGAAAUACAUCAAGAUAAUCUUUAUAAUCAUCUGGGAUAUUUGGCUCAGUUGCUGCACUCGCAGCUCAUAAUGGUAAGGCAGUGAAUAUAAUAUUGCCAUCAUUAAUUAGUGUUGCGAAUUCUUUAGCAGUAUCCAGAUGCAUGUGGUUAAUAUUUGAUGCUUUCCUAUAGGUUCAGCAUCUUCACACCCAGUCGAUAUCAGAGUUCACAGCUUCCAACCACAGCAUGCCCAAAAUUAUGUCAUAUCUGCUAAUGUCGGCCUCUUCGAAAUGGUGGAAUCCUUCUCAGAGGACAUGUUUGUCAUCGAUAAUCUUCAUUGCAGCUCUUCAUUGUCCAUAUGAUUUAACCUUAUGAUUAUUGACUGCUUCCACUACUUUUGGUUUAUCUUCUGUCUUUGAGAAAUAUUUUGAUGCCCAGGUGUGGGACACGAAGUUCGCAUCCGCGCCAGAAUCCACUAGCAUCCACACCAUCGACCAUCCCACUUCUGUCAGCAUCCAUGUAUUCAUCGCCAAUAAUCAUUUAUCUCACAGCCUAGUUGUUUGUAUUCCCAAUGCAGCAGCUGCUUCUAUGAUUGGGAUUGCUGGUUUUUUGCUUGUUGAACUUGGUUGUGCUUUUCAGGGUGUAACAUCCAACAAUCAUUUGCAACAUGACCCUUCUUAUGGCAGUCUUCCUUUGUGAAUAGCAUGCUGUUGCUCUGGCAUAUUUUCCUUGAGAGUCUGUAGAGUUCAAAGCAACUCUUCAUAGUUCUGAGGCUUCUGAUUUUGACAGUUGAAUUCUGUGUGUAAUACCUUCAAUGCCUUACUACACAAGUUAUCCAUUCUUUGUUCUUCGCUAUAUGGGGGUAAGUAGUAUUCCCAGUCUUCAAGAUAUUUAGAGAAAUUGUGUAUCAAUUGCCAUUCUUGUUGCUUUGCAUCUUGAAAUUUUUGGCUCACCAAUCAGCACUGGUUCUGUGGAUCGUUAAUUUGCAUUUCUAGGUGUGAUAACAUAUCAUCAAAAGUCAACAGUGUUGCUCCUCCACAUCUCUCAUAUGAUGAUACAAAAUUCAACCAUUUCUGCUUAAUGUGGGUGUCAAGAUAGAGUUUAGCAUCAUUUAUCUUGUGUUCUUCCUUUCAAUAAUACCAGUGGUGGUGUGUAAAGAGAGUCAACAUGUGAUCUUUAUAGUUCUUGAAUUCUAACAUAUUUUUUCCUUGAUAAUAGUCCUUAAUCUUCAACCUCAGUGGUGUUUCAUUAUCAUCAUCUGUAUUGUUCGCAGAUUGAUUUUGUGGCGGUCCUGUGGUGGUAUCCUGGGUUAAUUGGGGUUCAAUGAGAGUAUCUCCAUGAAUCUGCGCUUCCAACUUGUUGAGCUGCUGUUGUGCAUGCAGAAUAGCUAAUUGCUGCUCUCAUUCACAAAUUUGAUCAUUCAACUGUUGCAAACACGCAUUGUGAUCAUCGGAGGCAGUAGAAGAUUCAGGUUGGUUUUCAAGGGAUCUUGCACAUGUUGAGACCAUCUUGUGUGUUUUAACUAAUGUUGCGUGUUUUAACUAACAUUGCGUGCUUUAUUGUAGGUGUGUGUAACAACAGACCACUCAAAUAAAGUUUAGAGCGAUUAGAAUUGUAAGAGAUGGUUGUAGGUAUAAUUAUGGGAGUAGUGUGAAGUACGC
This 2060-nucleotide small RNA is filed under the name Histoplasma ohiense. RNAcentral's name for it is "hypothetical lncRNA". The record is from RNAcentral. Lineage: Eukaryota; Fungi; Ascomycota; Eurotiomycetes; Onygenales; Ajellomycetaceae.